GGUGAACGCUGGCGGCGUGCCUAAUACAUGCAAGUCGAGCGAACAGACGAUGAGCUUGCUCCUUUGACGUUAGCGGGGGACGGGCGAGUAACACGUGGAUAACCUUCUUCUUAGACUUGGGUAACUUCGGGAAACAGGAGAUACUACCAGAUCAUAUAUUCAACGGCAUAGAUCAAUAGUGCAUGACGGUUUUGCUGUCUCAUUUAGACGGAUCCGCGCCGGAUUAGCUAGUUGGUAAGGUAACGGCCUACCAAGGCGACGAUGCGUAGCCGACCUGAGAGGAUGAUCAGCCACACUGGAACUGAGACACGGUCCAGACUCCUACGGGAGGCAGCAGUGGGGAAUCUUGCACAAUGGGCGAAAGCCUGACGCAGCAACGCCGCGUGAGUGAUGAAGGUCUUCGGAUCGUAAAACUCUGUUGUUAGGAAAGAACAAAUGCGUAAUUAACUACGCAUGUCUUGACGGUACCUAAACAGAAAGCCACGGCUAACUACGUG
Molecule: ribosomal RNA, 497 nt
Filed under: uncultured bacterium
Lineage: Bacteria
Description: partial 16S ribosomal RNA
Rfam family: Bacterial small subunit ribosomal RNA
Source: RNAcentral